GACGAACGCUGGCGGCGUGCUUAACACAUGCAAGUCGAACGGAAAGGCCCUGCUUUUGUGGGGUGCUCGAGUGGCGAACGGGUGAGCAACACGUGAGUAACCUGCCCUUGACUUUGGGAUAACUUCAGGAAACUGGGGCUAAUACCGGAUAGGAGCUCCUGCUGCAUGGUGGGGGUUGGAAAGUUUCGGCGGUUGGGGAUGGACUCGCGGCUUAUCAGCUUGUUGGUGGGGUAGUGGCUUACCAAGGCUUUGACGGGUAGCCGGCCUGAGAGGGUGACCGGCCACAUUGGGACGGAGAUACGGCCCAGACUCCUACGGGAGGCAGCAGUGGGGAAUAUUGCACAAUGGGCGGAAGCCUGAUGCAGCAACGCCGCGUGCGGGAUGACGGCAUGCGGGUUGUAAACCGCUUUCGCCUGUGACGAAGCGUGAGUGACGGUAAUGGGUAAAGAAGCACCGGCUAACUACGUG
RNAcentral lists this ribosomal RNA (468 nucleotides) under uncultured bacterium. Its description in RNAcentral is "partial 16S ribosomal RNA". It matches the Rfam family "Bacterial small subunit ribosomal RNA", at positions 28 to 507 of the family's 1533-position model. The record is from RNAcentral.